RNAcentral lists this long non-coding RNA (1972 nucleotides) under Theobroma cacao (cacao). Its description in RNAcentral is "long non-coding RNA (TCAC_LNC003221)". Lineage: Eukaryota; Viridiplantae; Streptophyta; Magnoliopsida; Malvales; Malvaceae. The record is from RNAcentral.
CUGGCCAAAGCAAGAACAAAGGAAGAAAAAGGAAGAACAAGAACCCUAGGGUGAAAAUUCAAGAGAAAAUUGGUGGAUUUCAAGUAAUCAAGCAAUCAAAGGUAAAAUUUCUUGAUUUUGACUUGUGAUCUACCUUUCCCAUGCAUUAUUUUGCAUUUUCCAUGGUUGAAUCACAAGAUAUCAUGAAGGAUAGUGUGCUGAUCAAACCCUAGGAAAGAGGUUUUGAUGCUUGAUUUAGUUAGAUUUCAAUGUAUUUUAGUGUUUUUAGUUGAUUGGUGAUAUGUAGCAUGAAAAUCAAACAAGAAAAAUUCAUGUUCUCCCAUCACCCAUCAUUGGCCAAAUUCUCCAUGUAGAAUAUUGAUGAUGAUUUUGAUUUUAUUUCAAGUGAUUUGGUUAGGAAUUAAUGAUUUAUGGUGUGAGAAUCAAGUAGGAAAAAUUAUAGUGUUGACACACCCACCAUGGCCAAAUUUCUCAAGAGAAAAUGUGAGAAUGAUUUUACCAUAUCUCAAGUUAUUUAAUUUGUGUUUGAUGAUUUGAAGUAUUGGGAGAAAAAUAAAAUUAUUUGGAGUUGAAUUGGAUGUAUUGGCCAAUUAAUCGAGUGAUAGAUCGAAUUAGGCCAAUACCGUUUAAUUUAGGUACACAAUUGAAUUUGUGUAAAACACCAUGUUUAGACAAUAAUCCGAACAAUUUGCAUCCCAUUUCAUACAUUAGUAUAAAGCCUGAAUUGGUUUUAUAACAAUUUAGUACAAUGUAGUGAAUGGCUUAUUAUGCAUUAUGUGUAGGUGGUGAGCAUUCUGGCAAAAGUAAAGAGAUAGUACCCGAGGAUCAAGAAUCGGAAUACUUGGAAUUCAACUCCCGAAAUAGUGAGUAACCCUAUCAUCAUCUUAAUUAUCUAAAGUAUGCUUUAUUCGAUUCUGUGAAUUUUAUGGAAAAUGAAUUAAAUGAUUAAUUUUUUGAUUUUAUAAACAAAAUGUGAUUUAAUGAAAUGAUUUUAUAAAAUUGUUUUUAAAAUUGAAUGAUGGUUUGAAAAUAGAGUAAUUGGAGAUUGUUUUUGUGUGUUGUAAAUUCAUGAUUCUAAUUGAUUGGCUUAUGGCAAUAUUGGCAUGAAUGGUUGAUUUGAUAAAUGUGUUGGAAAUGUAUAAAUUGUUGAUCUGCCUAGAAAGGCUGUAAAAUAAAAUAAUUGUCAUGUCAUGCUAUUGCAAAUUUUAUUGUAUGAUGGGUUUAGCUUGCUGUAGUGGGUGGGUUUUCUGUGGAUCAGCCUAUUGGAGGGGCAUGAAAUCUCGUUAUAUUUUACUUCGGUUGGAGAGGCGAGUAGGGUAACUCCCGAGGUAUAACUUUAGAGUUUCACUCCACGCAAAACCACCACGUGAGGGUGAACUCAGCCAACGCCAAGGAAUGGCUAUAUUUUCAAAAUAAAAACAUGAUUUAUGCGUACAUAACUUUUUAACAGGUUUGGCAGACUCGGUUGGGAUAGCCCUCGAUCAAGGCAUCCCUGAUAACUGGGUAUGAGAAUGAUUUUGGCACGAGCCAAAGUUUUAAGAAAUUCAUAAGCCAUGUUGAUUACUCGAUUUAUAUGAAUUGAUUUUAUUUGGUUGAAACAAGUUGAAAGGUGAUGAAUUAUAGUAUGUUAAACUAUUUUAUCUAUCUCCAUUCACUCGGCUUUAGAUAUUUUAGAUGGUAUUUGUUUACUCACUGGGAUUAUAUAAUCUCACCACUCUCCUUUCCACCCAUUCAGGCUCAGAAUAGGCUGUAGAUAGCUGAUUUCAUCGAGGUUACCAUUGGAUUUGCAUCCUCCAAACUGUAGGUUCACAGUCUUCCUUACUUUUAGUUAUUCGAGGGCCCACUGGUUACUGUAAAUUAAAUUAAAUACUCUGGCUUACUGUAUUACAGUAUGUAUGAAUUUAUUUUGCUUUUACGCUGCUACAAAAAUUAUUUACGUAUAACUCUUAAAAUAUUGUUUUAUAAGAAAAUA